GAAGGUCACGGCGAGACGAGCC
RNAcentral lists this ribosomal RNA (22 nucleotides) under Hibbertia banksii. RNAcentral describes it as "partial 4.5S ribosomal RNA". Lineage: Eukaryota; Viridiplantae; Streptophyta; Magnoliopsida; Dilleniales; Dilleniaceae. The record is from RNAcentral.